UUUUCGCAAUGCCCGAAAGGGUGACGAAGCGACGCCGCGUGGGUGAGGAAGGCCCUCGGGUUGUAAAGCCCUGUCAGGAGUUAAGAAAUGUAGAUACGCUAAUAUCGUAUCUAUUUGACAAAGGCUCCAAAGGAAGCCACGGCUAACUCUGUGCCAGCAGCCGCGGUAAUACAGAGGUGGCAAGCGUUGUUCGGAAUUAUUGGGCGUAAAGAGCACGUAGGUGGAUUUGUAAGUCAGAUGUGAAAGCCUUCUGUUCAACGGAAGAAUUGCAUCUGAAACUACAAACCUUGAGUAUAGGAGGGGAGAAUGGAACUUCUGGUGGAGCGGUGAAAUGCGUAGAUAUCAGAAGGAACGCCGGCGGCGAAAGCGAUUCUCUGGCCUAUUACUGACACUCAGUGUGCGAAAGCUAGGGGAGCAAACGGGAUUAGAUACCCCGGUAGUCCUAGCCGUAAACGAUGGGCACUAAGUAGAGGGGUUUUAA
This 481-nucleotide ribosomal RNA is filed under the name uncultured anaerobic ammonium-oxidizing bacterium. RNAcentral's name for it is "bacterial SSU rRNA". It matches the Rfam family "Bacterial small subunit ribosomal RNA", at positions 363 to 834 of the family's 1533-position model. The record is from RNAcentral.